UGUCAUUUUUCCUCUCGUCUUCUUCUUCUUCUCCUCCCCCCCUUGUGUACUUGGUUGAAGCCAUGCAGGUGUGGUUUUCCACUAUUUUCUGUCCAUGGAAUUGCGGCGGUUCGAGGUUGGAGCUCAGUUUUUGUUUUAUUUUUUAUUUUUUUAUUGUUGCGUUCCGGAAAGUUCAACCGCAGCAAGGGAGUGUCGCCGGCUGAAGUGGUGCGGACUGUUGGCGGGUAUUUUUUCCCCGAGACGGAUUGGUGGUUCAGCGCCGGACUCGUCCUUGUUCUCGCGUACUUUGGGUUCCAUCGGUGGGGGUAGUGCGGCGUGAGGCGAUCUUCUCCUAUUCGGUUGCUGCAGUGGUGCUACAGUAUGUUGGACAUUGGGCUUGAGUGCAAGUGGUCAAGGACGACUGGUUAUUUCUUUUCGGGGCAGUGUGACGCUUGAGCGGCGGCUGGUGUCAGUGACGGCGUCGACGGUGGGAUCUUGCUGUGGAAGCUCCACACUAGGCGGAUCAGGUUUUUUUUCCUCCGACUGUGUGUGCUGCGACGAGCGAUUCGACGUCACUGUUGAAUUCGGAGCGCUGUGUCAUUGCGUGGCACUGCUGUAACGUGCCUUCUACGGUGACGGCAAUAACUAAGGCGCCGUUAAAGUGCAGCUGGAGUUCGAGUGGAGUUGUGGUGUUUAACUCUUUUCGUGGUUACCACGAUUCGGUGUCUUGUUUACUCUCGCUAUUCAACUGUGGCGGUGCUGUUUGCGUUGCGAAGUGGCGUGUUUUGUUUUUUCUUUUCCUCUUCCUGGUUGCUUUUGGUUGAUUAUUGUCAACGGGUUGUCUGUCCUAGUGGAGUUGGUUGUUCCUGUCAUUGAAAUCUGCAAGUGGCAAUAAUCAAUUGCAGUGGAUAUAUAUAUAUAUAUAUAUAUUUUCUCCCUUAGUUUUAUUAUUAAAAAUAAAAUAAAAUGAAGAGUUGCUUGGAUGUGUGGCUCUUGUGACACUACCCUUUGUAGCAGCCUCGGUAUAAGUGGGUGUUAGAUUCUUUUUCUCUAUGGCGGCGGUUCAGGUGGAACUCGGAUAUUGGAUUUUGCGGCUGCUUCUAUAUUGCCGUCGGUUCCUGUUUUCCUCCUCAGCACCUUCUCUUCUUCGAGUUGCCGCUCCCUUGCGCUCACCCUCUUCCUCGACUGCUCCUUGAUCGUUGUUGCUGCUGCCUAGGAGCACUUGCCGUUUUCUACUCUUCAGAUCUUUAUUUCUCCUUUUCCAUCAAGUGUGCAUAUCAUCGCUACUGGGUGGUCCGCUUCGACGCAGCCUUUGCCGACGUGAAGUGUGAUGUGAAAUUCUGCUCGUGGCAUUUGGAAGAUGGGUUACAUAACAAAAGUUAUCUUCAUAAUUGUUGCAAGGAUCGAGGAGAACCAUAGCCGAGGAGUAUUCAAAAAUAUUUCGGAGCCUUGUGUGGAUUGCAACUUGUGAGUAUGUCGUGGCUGUUUUUCUUGCAACCAGCCACCUAAUAUCAAGAGAAGGGCAAGGAAAGACAUCACGCUGGACGAGCUGUGGUUGCUGGAUCAGACCUCAUAUUGGAGUACAUUCUCGUGGCCUUUCUUAUCUUAGUGUAGUAUUGAUUUGAUAGGUUGGUAGCAAGGAUGUUUGCACCACCGAUGUAGUACAGUUGGGAGUUAUCCACAAGAUAUGAUCCUGCACUAAGUGGUACUCGAGGGCAAGAAGUGCUGUCCUAUCAAAUCAUCCUACAACAAUUGGGACUUCUUCUGCAUCAAAAAGUCACUUAGUGGGUUAUUCAAAAUCUUGCUCGAUGAAUUCAUGCUAUAUGACGACCUCUUGAUUCAAUUAGGUCAUUCAUAGAUGAAUUAGGCUUUAAAGAUUGGAUUUAUAGAUGAGAAUUGAUUGAA
Long non-coding RNA from Physcomitrium patens, 1884 nucleotides. RefSeq lists it as uncharacterized. NCBI's taxonomy places the organism in Eukaryota, Viridiplantae, Streptophyta, Bryopsida, Funariales, Funariaceae. The record is from RefSeq and is a predicted model, not a curated record.